GGGGCUAUAGCGCAGUUGGUAGCGCACCUCAAUGGCAUUGAGGGGGUCAGGGAUUCGAGUUCCCUUAGCUCCA
RNAcentral lists this transfer RNA (73 nucleotides) under Pseudanabaena sp. Its description in RNAcentral is "tRNA-Ala". It matches the Rfam family "tRNA". From Rfam's summary of the family: Transfer RNA (tRNA) molecules are approximately 80 nucleotides in length. Their secondary structure includes four short double-helical elements and three loops (D, anti-codon, and T loops). Further hydrogen bonds mediate the characteristic L-shaped molecular structure. tRNAs have two regions of fundamental functional importance: the anti-codon, which is responsible for specific mRNA codon recognition, and the 3' end, to which the tRNAs corresponding amino acid is attached (by aminoacyl-tRNA synthetases). tRNAs cope with the degeneracy of the genetic code in two manners: having more than one tRNA (with a specific anti-codon) for a particular amino acid; and 'wobble' base-pairing, i.e. permitting non-standard base-pairing at the 3rd anti-codon position. Lineage: Bacteria; Bacillati; Cyanobacteriota; Cyanophyceae; Pseudanabaenales; Pseudanabaenaceae. RNAcentral also lists the same sequence under 15 other names. The record is from RNAcentral.